UCCGAUUUGUCACCGGCAGUCUCCUAUGAGUCCCCGACAUAACUCGCUGGCAACAUAGGACAGGGGUUGCGCUCGUUGCGGGACUUAACCCAACAUCUCACGACACGAGCUGGCGACAGCCAUGCAGCACCUUGCACUCUGCCAAGUCUUACCUUGGAGGCCCUAUCUCUAGGGUUGUCAGAGGCAUUCUAGCCCAGGUAAGGUUCUUCGCGUUGCGUCGAAUUAAACCACAUGCUCCACCGCUUGUGCGGGUCCCCGUCAAUUCCUUUGAGUUUUAGCCUUGCGGCCGUACUCCCCAGGCGGGGCACUUAAUGCGUUAGCUUCGGCACAGGAGGAGUCGACACCUCCCACACCUAGUGCCCAUCGUUUACGGCGUGGACUAC
Molecule: unclassified non-coding RNA, 383 nt
Filed under: uncultured Thermoleophilia bacterium
Lineage: Bacteria; Bacillati; Actinomycetota; Thermoleophilia
Description: contains 16S-23S intergenic spacer region
Source: RNAcentral